AAAAAGCCUCAUGCAAAUGAGGUGGAGCAUGCGUAAUGGGGGACGCAUGCUCACCAGAAAACGGCC
Molecule: non-coding RNA, 66 nt
Filed under: Chlorobium phaeovibrioides DSM 265
Lineage: Bacteria; Pseudomonadati; Chlorobiota; Chlorobiia; Chlorobiales; Chlorobiaceae
Description: Chlorobi-1 RNA
Rfam family: Chlorobi-1 RNA
Source: Rfam by way of RNAcentral